UGAGUAACGCGUGGGUAACCUGCCCUUAAGUCUGGGAUACCAUUUGGAAACAGAUGCUAAUACCGGAUAAAAGCUACUUUCGCAUGAAAGAAGUUUAAAAGGCGGCGUAAGCUGUCGCUAAAGGAUGGACCUGCGAUGCAUUAGCUAGUUGGUAAGGUAACGGCUUACCAAGGCGAUGAUGCAUAGCCGAGUUGAGAGACUGAUCGGCCACAUUGGGACUGAGACACGGCCCAAACUCCUACGGAGGCAGCAGAG
Molecule: ribosomal RNA, 255 nt
Filed under: uncultured Lactobacillus sp.
Lineage: Bacteria; Bacillati; Bacillota; Bacilli; Lactobacillales; Lactobacillaceae
Description: partial 16S ribosomal RNA
Rfam family: Bacterial small subunit ribosomal RNA
Source: RNAcentral